ACGGGUUCGGAUUUCUGCCUUUUGCUUUGGAUUUUAUUUUGCCUUGGAUUGUCAGAUUUUUCAGUUAGUGAUGCAAUAAUACAGCCACGCUGGUUUCUGCUUGCUAGUGUUGCUGUUUUUAUACAAAGCGAUAUAUAUUUCCCAAAAUUCCAGUGUUUUUCCUGACGGUAACCUGAGCAAUGGCUUUCAAACGGAAAGUCAUGAUACACCAAAGGCCAAAUGCUCAUACUAUCUACAGCAUAAAUUUUCGUCGGUUUUAUCAAUGCACCGCAUCACUACAGAAACGAUUCUCAACUAUAAUAGUGCCUGCUUCAAGGUAUAAGCAAAAAAUCAACAUAUACAAACAACGUUAGACAAAAAAUAUAGGAA
Molecule: long non-coding RNA, 369 nt
Organism: Wyeomyia smithii (pitcher-plant mosquito)
Lineage: Eukaryota; Metazoa; Arthropoda; Insecta; Diptera; Culicidae
Exons: 3
Source: RefSeq, a predicted model, not a curated record